CACGUAGGGUGCAAGCGUUAAUCGGAAUUACUGGGCGUAAAGCGUGCGCAGGCGGUGAUGUAAGACAGAUGUGAAAUCCCCGGGCUCAACCUGGGAACUGCAUUUGUGACUGCAUCGCUGGAGUGCGGCAGAGGGGGAUGGAAUUCCGCGUGUAGCAGUGAAAUGCGUAGAUAUGCGGAGGAACACCGAUGGCGAAGGCAAUCCCCUGGGCCUGCACUGACGCUCAUGCACGAAAGCGUGGGGAGCAAACAGG
RNAcentral lists this ribosomal RNA (253 nucleotides) under uncultured bacterium. Its description in RNAcentral is "partial 16S ribosomal RNA". It matches the Rfam family "Bacterial small subunit ribosomal RNA", at positions 524 to 776 of the family's 1533-position model. The record is from RNAcentral.